This 918-nucleotide ribosomal RNA is filed under the name uncultured bacterium. RNAcentral describes it as "bacterial SSU rRNA". It matches the Rfam family "Bacterial small subunit ribosomal RNA", at positions 9 to 954 of the family's 1533-position model. The record is from RNAcentral.
GAGUUUGAUCAUGGCUCAGGAUGAACGCUGACAGAAUGCUUAACACAUGCAAGUCUACUUGAUCCUUCGGGUGAAGGUGGCGGACGGGUGAGUAACGCGUAAAGAACUUGCCUUACAGACUGGGACAACAUUUGGAAACGAAUGCUAAUACCGGAUAUUAUGAUUGGGUCGCAUGAUCUGGUUAUGAAAGCUAUAUGCGCUGUGAGAGAGCUUUGCGUCCCAUUAGUUAGUUGGUGAGGUAACGGCUCACCAAGACGAUGAUGGGUAGCCGGCCUGAGAGGGUGAACGGCCACAAGGGGACUGAGACACGGCCCUUACUCCUACGGGAGGCAGCAGUGGGGAAUAUUGGACAAUGGACCAAAAGUCUGAUCCAGCAAUUCUGUGUGCACGAUGAAGUUUUUCGGAAUGUAAAGUGCUUUCAGUUGGGAAGAAGUCAGUGACGGUACCAACAGAAGAAGCGACGGCUAAAUACGUGCCAGCAGCCGCGGUAAUACGUAUGUCGCAAGCGUUAUCCGGAUUUAUUGGGCGUAAAGCGCGUCUAGGCGGCUUAGUAAGUCUGAUGUGAAAAUGCGGGGCUCAACCCCGUAUUGCGUUGGAAACUGCUAAACUAGAGUACUGGAGAGGUAGGCGGAACUACAAGUGUAGAGGUGAAAUUCGUAGAUAUUUGUAGGAAUGCCGAUGGGGAAGCCAGCCUACUGGACAGAUACUGACGCUAAAGCGCGAAAGCGUGGGUAGCAAACAGGAUUAGAUACCCUGGUAGUCCACGCCGUAAACGAUGAUUACUAGGUGUUGGGGGUCGAACCUCAGCGCCCAAGCUAACGCGAUAAGUAAUCCGCCUGGGGAGUACGUACGCGAGUAUGAAACUCAAAGGAAUUGACGGGGACCCGCACAAGCGGUGGAGCAUGUGGUUUAAUUCGA